CCUACGGGAGGCAGCAGUGGGGAAUAUUGGACAAUGGGGGGAACCCUGAUCCAGCGACGCCGCGUGAGUGAAGAAGUAUUUCGGUAUGUAAAGCUCUAUCAGCAGGGAAGAAAAUGACGGUACCUGACUAAGAAGCCCCGGCUAACUACGUGCCAGCAGCCGCGGUAAUACGUAGGGGGCAAGCGUUAUCCGGAUUUACUGGGUGUAAAGGGAGCGUAGACGGUGUAGCAAGUCUGAUGUGAAAGGUCGGGGCUCAACCCCGGGACUGCAUUGGAAACUGUUGAACUGGAGUACAGGAGAGGUAAGCGGAAUUACUAGUGUAGCGGUGAAAUGCGUAGAUAUUAGGAGGAACACCAGUGGCGAAGGCGGCUUACUGGACUGUAACUGACGUUGAGGCUCGAAAGCGUGGGGAGCAAACAGGAUUAGAUACCCCAGUAGUC
RNAcentral lists this ribosomal RNA (440 nucleotides) under uncultured bacterium. Its description in RNAcentral is "partial 16S ribosomal RNA". It matches the Rfam family "Bacterial small subunit ribosomal RNA", at positions 338 to 795 of the family's 1533-position model. The record is from RNAcentral.